UACGUAGGGGGCAAGCGUUGUCCGGAAUCAUUGGGCGUAAAGGGCGCGUAGGCGGCAAUUCAAGUCAGCUGUGAAAUCUCCGGGCUUAACUCGGAACGGUCAGCUGAUACUGUUUUGCUAGAGUGCAGAAGGGGCAAUCGGAAUUCUCGGUGUAGCGGUGAAAUGCGUAGAUAUCGAGAGGAACACCUGAGGUGAAGACGGGUUGCUGGGCUGACACUGACGCUGAUGCGCGAAAGCCAGGGUAGCAAACAGG
RNAcentral lists this ribosomal RNA (253 nucleotides) under uncultured bacterium. Its description in RNAcentral is "partial 16S ribosomal RNA". It matches the Rfam family "Bacterial small subunit ribosomal RNA", at positions 524 to 776 of the family's 1533-position model. The record is from RNAcentral.